UUUAUGGAGAGUUUGAUCCUGGCUCAGGAUGAACGCUGGCGGCGUGCCUAAUACAUGCAAGUCGAGCGAACGGACGAGAAGCUUGCUUCUCUGAUGUUAGCGGCGGACGGGUGAGUAACACGUGGAUAACCUACCUAUAAGACUGGGAUAACUUCGGGAAACCGGAGCUAAUACCGGAUAAUAUUUUAAACCGCAUGGUUCAAAAGUGAAAGACGGUCUUGCUGUCACUUAUAGAUGGAUCCGCGCUGCAUUAGCUAGUUGGUAAGGUAACGGCUUACCAAGGCAACGAUGCAUAGCCGACCUGAGAGGGUGAUCGGCCACACUGGAACUGAGACACGGUCCAGACUCCUACGGGAGGCAGCAGUAGGGAAUCUUCCGCAAUGGGCGAAAGCCUGACGGAGCAACGCCGCGUGAGUGAUGAAGGUCUUCGGAUCGUAAAACUCUGUUAUUAGGGAAGA
RNAcentral lists this ribosomal RNA (458 nucleotides) under Staphylococcus aureus. Its description in RNAcentral is "bacterial SSU rRNA". It matches the Rfam family "Bacterial small subunit ribosomal RNA", at positions 1 to 448 of the family's 1533-position model. Lineage: Bacteria; Bacillati; Bacillota; Bacilli; Caryophanales; Staphylococcaceae. The record is from RNAcentral.